AAUUUUUACUUAGAAAAUAAUAUAUUAAAAAUUGUGUCAUGUUUAAUAUUGAGUACCAUGAACAAAAUAUACUCUGAAAAGUAUUUUUAUAUUUCAUUAUAUUUUAAGAUAGAGGGUACAUAAUAUAUAUCAGUGACAUAGCACUAGCUGGUGUAUUACAAAAAAGUAACAGGUAUACAAAACAAAAUCAAAUAAAAUCAGAAAAGUAAAACAGAUAGAUCACCCAAACAAGUUAUAACCCCACUCAGGAACCUAUGAUCUAGCUCCAGGUAUUUUCUGCUCAUGAUUUGGAUAUUGUAUUUUUCGACAUUGUCACGAAGGCGCUAGAAAAGUCAUUUUAUUAUUUAAUGGAGAAUGAAGGAAUAUCAGACUAUAAAGGACUUUUAGUUCUCCAAGUCUGGGUUACAAAUACUUAUACACUAUGUAAUAAUUUCCCAUCAUCUUUGGUUCAUCCCUCGUUGUUCGGGUUGGUAACAUUGAUAUUUCUCCAUUCUGAUGGCCUGUUGCCUGUCGCAAUCAUUUUGCUAAUCUUUUUAUCAGGAAAUGUCCAUUGAUAUGACAAGCCGGGCUCCUUGUUGUGCUACAUGCUUUGUGGGGAAUCCUUGCUUUCAGUCAGACACCAGUCGUGAGGGUUAAAACAGGUCAGAUUCCAUAUGUCUGUCACGUCUGCAUGUUUGUAUUUCUCCUUAUACUAAAAGUGAAUUAGCUUUUAAUAUAGUUGUCUCCUAUUGCACUGCCUAAAAUUCAGCUCUUUGCCAAUUGCCAGAUAGAAAGAAGCUAGAUUCCAUCGAUCUCCUUGUCAGUCUCUAAGAGGGGGAUCUCCAUAUUUAAGUUCGUUUUCCGUUGGUCAAAAGUGAUCCAGUCUGAUUUUAGGGUGCUAUUUACUAACCCAAGAGACAAGGACGUGUUCUCCCUGGGCCCGCUUGAUAUCAACAGGCACACGUCCCGUGAGGAGUUCGAGAAGAACCACACCAUAGCUGUAAACAUCUGACUUUGUGGUUCUUUAUUUAACGUUGUAAGUUAAUUACUGGGAUUGGGUGGAGAAUGAAGAUAA
Vigna umbellata (rice bean) is the source of this 1054-nucleotide non-coding RNA. The record is from RefSeq and is a predicted model, not a curated record. NCBI's taxonomy places the organism in Eukaryota, Viridiplantae, Streptophyta, Magnoliopsida, Fabales, Fabaceae.